This is a long non-coding RNA of Oncorhynchus mykiss (rainbow trout), 3701 nucleotides long. The record is from Ensembl. NCBI's taxonomy places the organism in Eukaryota, Metazoa, Chordata, Actinopteri, Salmoniformes, Salmonidae.
AUGGAUGAUAAGUUCACAAAUGGACGGAAGCGGCUAUAUGAUGAGCCCACUCAAAGCCAUUUGGAUUUGAAUGGAGCUCAUACGAAACCAGGAAUAUGGAAACUUGAUCAAGAUGGCAGGUUAUCAGGAGGAAGAGCGCUGGGUGCUGGUGUCCUCAUCACGUUCUCAACUUACUGUUACUGUAUGGCAGAUUUCGUUGAGCAAUUCAUUUGGUUUUGGGCUGUUCCCUGGCGUCCAAACCUCCCAGAGAAAUGUCUGAGGCCUUGAUAUAUUCCUCUCAGGUUUCCAUGGCCGCACCGCCCGGGCCAGAUCCCGUUGCACUGAUGUCACUCAUGAAUUGAACCACCUCUCUACGGGAAGGGAUUCACAAGGUAACUUAAAUCAAACUGUGCAAAUUGGGAAUAGAUGCUGGGAGUGUAUAAUGAGAAGUUAUAUCAGCAGUGAGAAGCAGGAUGACGUUUUAUUAAGACAGCCAACCCAAAUGGAUACAUACCUAUAAGGUAAACUAUUGAAGUAAUGUGAUAAAACUGUGACUGGAAUGAAUGGACAUUAUGCUCAAACUUGCUUUGUUAUGAAGACAUCAUUACAGUUAGUUAUAACAACAUAAUCUACAUUCAAUUACCAUGUAUCACUUGCCAUUUCAAUCCGUUAUCUUUCAAAAGGCCCAAUAAGUAAAGCUUGUGUGUGUGUGUGUGUGCUUGUGUAUGUGUGCGUGCCUGUGUGUGCCUAUGUACAUGUGUGCGUGCUUGCUGGUAUCCAUACCGGAGGGAAAAGGACAUUUGUUGAGUUAAAUCGUGGCAAAGGUGAUUUGGCCUACAUGCAUGUUGACAGCUUUAUGGACUGUUGGCCUUGGAACGUGAGGGGAAAAGGGAAGAGAGCUGGCAUGUUUCCCAGACACGCGCAGGUGAAACAUCAUGGUCAGUGCCCGUGUUAACAGUAACAAUCUGGCACCUAACAAGCGCACCUACAGCCUGUCAGAGGAGACCACUGCGUAGCAAUUUGACUGUGACUGUGUGUGUGCGUGUGUGUGUGUGGGGGGAUUCAGUGUCUGUAUGUGUCUACUGUAUGUGUGUACAUGUGUGUCCCAAUUCAGGAGGGAAUGAUGUCUGAAGCAAUGUGACACUGCUGUGAAUGAGAUGAAGGUUAUGGAAUUCUAAGAACACAAACACUUGCCAAUUGAGGUAAAGUUCAACUGAUGGACCUCUUAAAGCCUGCUGGAGGCCAUCUAUGGAUUGUCAUGAUUUUGAUCUGAUGUAAUCUUGACUGAUUUAGAUGAUUGGCAAUUGUGUCAAAUCCACAAACAAAGAAUACAGUGUUUUGUCAAAAAUCUCCACAUUGACUAUGUGGUCAGUUAGGGCCGCAAUUAUGGGAGCUUCCAGACUAUACAAUUGAUAAAAUAUUUGUUAACUUCAGGAUGUGUAUUUAUGCUUCAGUGGUAAUGCUAGUUUUGUUCUUUGUUCAUUUGUUUGUUUGUCUGUUUUUAAUAGGGGGUAUGUUACUUGAACGUCAUUAUGUGAUUGAUUUUAUGAUGCCUUCUCAACAUGACAACUCGCUGUUAGUGAUAAUGACAUAGUUACGAUAGAAUGAUCCAUUGUGGACUAAGUUCACAGCUCUCUGCCCUUUAACCAUAUUGAGUCUUUGGCAACACUAAGUGCUGCCACACAGCCACACCCUUUCAGUAUUACGUCAUGAGAAUCUUUGUCUGGGCUUGGUGACACAACUGUAAAUGCCACAGCAUGGAGCGUGGUCAUUGCUUUAGCUAACGGACACCUCAGCUAUGUAUGUCUGAUCUCAGGGGAUAUUUCGACUCCAAACACCCGAGCCCCACCAGCAAGAAAUGACACUGAACCGAAUGAGUUGACCUCUCUGGAUUUUUUUUUAUGAGGGCCUUUAAUUGGAUUUUAAUAUCAUUCGAUUGGGAGAAACAUCGCAUUAUAUUCCACUUUGAAUGUAUAAAGGGUCAUGGUUUCACACGUGUAAUUCGUUCUUCUCUUGAGUCACUGUAUAGUCGCCUAUACAGCCAGAGACACGGUGGGCAGUUCAUCUACAGGGCUCAACCUUAAGAAAAUAAUCUGUCCAGCUAGUGACUGUGAGAGAGCAUGAAAGAAAAAUCCCAAAUACAGUUAUUAUCACAUUUUAUUCAAAAUUAAGGAAAAUACUGGUAGGUCUCUAAGUAACGAUUGUCUCUAAAAUAUAUUGCUUUCCAUGAUAAUUUGUGAAGACUUGAAAAGCAUCUCUCACUGCGAUGACAGUUUGUCACAAACCUCAUUUGACAAAUGUCUAAAAAUGACCUCAAUAGUCAGAAAACGAACAAUGCAUAUAGCUCAUGAGUCUACAUGAUAUUAGUUACUUCCAUGUACUGUAAGAAAAGAAAAAUCACUCUCCCACCCAUUGUGGUUGUUGGGUUCUGACCAGACAUCCCAUGUGAGUUGCAAGUUGUGAGAUACCAAGGGGCCUCUCUAACCUGCUGCCAACUAUCCAGUGCACACCUUUUUCAGAGUCCAGGAAAAACACGCUUUACGUCAAUGCAGAGGCUGAGAGAUGGUGUCACUAUUUGGCAAACUGGAUGCCAACCAGCGUGAAUCAUUCUAGAAAGGGAUUUCACUGGAAAAAAUAAACAGCUCUUUUCCAAAUAAUGAGUGAAAUCCCUCCUACUCCCUGUUGUAGUAUUCUUGGAGAGGGGUAAGCCAGAAAAAGUAAGUCCAACUGGCUAGAAACAGUAGAUUUGUUGCUUUUGGGGGAUUUUUCAAAUGCAGUAAUGACACCACUCUGAGUCUGUACAGAAUCACAUUUGAAUACUAAUAAUGUGUUUACAUUAGAGUAAUUCAGACCCUGCAAUGAAAUGAUCGUAUUACAAAAAAAAUAUUUGUAGUGGCAUUUAAUUCAAAACCACUAUUUAUUGCAUCAUCAAUGAGAACAUGGCUAAUAUUUAUGUGGUAUUAAAAUAAACAAUGUGUACUCUGCAAUGAACACAAUGAAAAAGUGAUCUGUGGUAGUCCAUCCUUGUUUCAAAUCCCGUGCAGAAUAUUCAAAAGGGAUUCUUAGUUUUUAGUUUUUCACGACGAUUUCCAUAUUUGCACCGUCAAAGUGUCACGCUUCUUCUCCAAGAGUCACGGAAGCAGCAUAGAGUGUCAUCCAUCCAGCUCAUUGACUGAAGGGAAGUGGUCAGUCAAACCAGCACUGUAUCCGGGGUAACUCCUGACCUUGGCCCUCACAUUUAAGUUCAGGUCUGACCUGAAGUAAAAGCCCCAUUCUUCUCAAAGGCACGCCAUUGUACCAGGGGCAGGUUAGUCUGCAACCUCCCAACACAGGCACACUCACAUUGGCCCUCAACUUAGGGGGCAACCCCUGUGCAACAGAAGAAUUCUUGGGGAAUUUAUGCACCAUCUCCCAGGCUAAUUCAAUUAGACGGGAUCGUGUCGACAGUAUGGCCAUUGUGGCAAAAGCACAAUGUUGCACUUCAUAUCGUCCAAGGCUCGGGGUGGAAUUCUGUGCCAUUUAGCUCCCCCCCCCCCACGCUGCCCACCCCACCCCCACCCCUCAACGGCAUCCUGGCCAUUCUCUUUCUCUGUCCCCCUCUCCCUCUCUGUCUCUCUGUCUGUCCAAUGAUAUGCCUGAGGGUCCUUUGCUGGCCACAGAUAAGGCGAAUCAUUAACCAAUCCCCUGAGAGAGGGCAUUCACAGCCACAGGGCCACGAGGCU